CGUAUCGCACAGAUGAGCUUAGUAUGAACUUUGACCAACAGAUGGCACUAUUAACUGCUCUUUUUAGUUGCUACCAUGGAGGCAGAAUUUUUACGUCCAUGGUUGCUACUUGCGACUCUCAGUCGCGACAUGUCGCAGAAAUCGCAGUUGGACUCGAUAGCGAAUCGUAGGGAAGGAGCGUAGUACGAACGUUGGCCACCAAUGGCAUGUUAACUGCGUUUUCUAAUUCCCCAAGGCUAAAUAAUUGUACUGGUCGUGUGAAGAAUAUUCUAAUUUGUGUGAAAAAUUACAGCUAUAGCUGCAUUUGUUUCUUUGCAAAUGAGACCCUAUCAACUACAUACUAGUUCUUUAUGUAUUGGCAUGUAUUGCAGAAAAUGCUUAAGAAGCAGGUCUCUCACUGUUAUAUAAAUGUACUGGAUGUGUGAAGUAUUUUCUAAUUUGCGCGAAAAAGUAAUAUUCACUGCCAGGAAAGUAAACUUCUUCCUUUGCUCUUGUAAGUACCAGAAUGUAUUUCAUCUGCAUAAGUGCUUAAUUGGAGGACGUUCUUGUUUGGAAAAGAAGUAUCCUAAAAUAACUAGCCUGUAAAUUUUUUUAUGCUUUAUAGGCAGCUGGCAGUAAGACUAAAGUCAACUUUUAAUUCUUUCUCACAUAUGUCAGUCUUUUUUAUGUGCCUUGUUCUGGCGAUGAGUGUUAGUUUGUUUCUGCAAGAUAAUCGACAUGUUUUGAAUAUUCCCUCACAUUUUCAUAUUUCAUGUUUAACUUGUAAAUUACUGACAAUGAAGACCUCAUAAACGUGAACGUCAAUAAUAUUUUUUUUUUUUUCAAAUGGAAAGACUCGAACCAAAACAAUCUCAUUUGCUAGGCGCUGUUCUUGUCCAUCGCUGAUAACGUUCUCCACAUCACUACAGUGACCAGCUGAGGUCUGUUACUUUAUCUUGUGUCAUAUAUUCUGAGACACUGAAGCGCUAAUACCUCAUUAUUUGAUUUUCAGUACCAAUAAGUUGCAUCUUUUUCAGAGUUUCUCAAUGCAGUGCUGGUUUGGAACAGCAUUUAUUCAUAGGACAUUAGUUAUAAUACGGUUAUAACAUAAAACAAGCCAAAUACGAGCUUGACAAAAUCCAAUAUAGCCUCACACAGUUACUUCAGCCAAAGUAUAUCUUGAAAAGGAGUGCAGCCACAGUACCUCUUGAAUUGCAUAUGCAAACCCAGGCAUGUGAGCCAACGAAGAUGAUGACUCCUGCAAGCGUCAGUGUUGUUUUACAUUAUUUUCAGAAUUUCUUUUAAAAUAUAAACAUAUCAGAUAGUUGAUAUAUGAAUUAACAAAACUGCAAAACAAGCACAUAAAACAGAAUGUGAAAUCACAAAAGUAGGUAUACAAAUAAAAUAUUUCUGAAUUCCAAUAAAAACUGAAGAUCACAUGCUUUCAACAGAAAAAUCAGAAAGUAAAUGUAAAAAUUUAUUUGUUAGGAAUAAUUUAAGUUUCUUCUUGAAGAUAUUUCUAUUGUGUGCAUAUAAAUCUUUUGCCAAUUUAUUAAACCAGAUUUGAGCGCUGAUAUAUGA
Molecule: long non-coding RNA, 1560 nt
Organism: Schistocerca piceifrons (Central American locust)
Lineage: Eukaryota; Metazoa; Arthropoda; Insecta; Orthoptera; Acrididae
Exons: 2
Source: RefSeq, a predicted model, not a curated record